UCUUUUAGAACCCGACCAAAAUCGUUAGCUGCAUCUAAAAAGCUUCAAAACUGUAUGGGUUAUUUAUAUUAGCAAUCCGGCCUCCUUCCAAACAGACAAACAACAAGUAGUGGUUGGAUUGAAUUCUAGGAAGGAAAGUGAUGCAUGCUUCUAAAAAAAGAAUACGCCAUUCACCAUUACAAAUCCCCCUAUCCAAUCGCUCAAAAACCCUUUCUCUCCCAUCUCUUAUUGCUCCACACCAAGUAAACUUUGAUCCUCUUGCCCCAUGUUUAUUAGUUGUACAUUGUCAAAUUUCCAAUAAAUUAAGGACUUUCAACACGGAAAAAUAAAAUCUUUAUAUAAGUAAAAUUAGAAUAGCAAAAUAGUAAUAAAAACCCAUAUUGGCUAACACAUUAACACGUGGUUACAAGUUUCAUAUUGCACGUGUACUUGUGAAAGUUUUAAACUGGGUAAGGUUAACUUGGUUUUAGAGUUUAUUGUCCUUGGUUUAAGCAUGUAAUUUCACUAUUAGUGAAACCCACUCCAAUUUUAGCGCCUUUUUCCUUUUGAAUUUUAAAAUUUGAGUUCAAUUUUACCAUUUAAAAUUAGUACACGAAUUUAAACUCAAAGGGGAUUAAUAAAGAAUCCCAGCUCCCAAAAUGGAGAAGAACAAAAAGAGCGGAAAAUUUUCCACCAAAUUUGAGUAACAAAUCAAAUUUUAACCCUCAUUUAUCUCCCCCUAAAUUUUUCUCUCAUUUACUCUCUUAAAUCGCUCAUUUCUUUGAAAAUCCUUCCCCCUUCCUCUUCUCUCUAAUUUCAAAACCCUUCCCCUUCUCUCUCCUCUUAUCAAAGCACAAGAAAAUCUGUCUUGGCUUGCUCGGCAAGGUUGCAUGUCCAACGACACGCAGGUAGAAGAUAUCUCUGUAUUUCGUGCAAGUGAAAGUUUUGAUCUUUGGAUAUGAAGGGUGUUGGUUCAAAAGAAGAAAAGGCGAAAGAGAAGUCAGUGGAGGGUGAGAACAAGAUGAAGCACAAAAUGAGGAGUGCUUCACAGCUGGAACUUGGAAGUUCUAGAGAAAACUUAUGCGGGGAAGCUUAUCAGUCAGAUGCAGUACGAGUUGAGUUAUUUUGAGCAUACCUUGAGUACUGGUCUUUUAUUUAUUUAAUUUUGUUCAUUGCAAGAGGUCCGUUAACUCUUUCAAACCUCUAUAUUUAGGAGGAUAGGUGGGAACAUGGUUCAAGUUGGAGGAUAACCUUUGUACAAAGUUGACAUUAAAUUGGGUGAAGUUCAUGGUUACAUCCUCACCUUUAGAUAAGCAUACAAUGGUGAGAAUUGUGAGAACUGAGGUGAGUGAGUGCUUUCUUGCAAUGCUUACUACAAUUAAUCUUUUAAAUAUUGCUAUAGAGACUGUAGUCACUAUCUAGAUCUAAAAAAAAAGAUCAAUAAGAUUUACUGAAAUGACUUUACCACCAUUUUCUGAUCUGAACUGUUCAUAAAAUAAGUCUAAAUUAUUUAGCUUGAGCUUGAUACUUUUGGUUUGAGAUGGAUUUGGAUUUUAGUUGAUUUCAGUCUUUUAGGCAGCUCUAUGCUUUUUCCUCAACUUGAGGUUCUAUACUUAUCCUUAGAAAUGAAUAUUUAUACUAUGUUCUCAUACUGAUAUAUCUGCACCACCACUUCUUCUAAAUUAAAUGCAAUUUCUAAUAUAAACUGUUGACAAAGCUAUCAUCAUAUGCACAUAAUAUUACAUUAGUAUUAUAGUACUAAUAGUAACAUCCUCCGUCACACAAAAAAUCAAAGGCUUGGUUUUCAUUAUUUUAGGUUGGAGUCAAAGUGAUGUUAUACAAAAAGCUUAGUUAUCUUUUUCUUUGAUUUUGUAAAUUGGUCUUCUGUAAAGUUUUGUUUGUUUUUGUAUUUUUAAUCCUUUUAUUUUCACCAUAUAAAAAUGCUCUUAUUAGUGUAUUUUCUAUUACAUGAUUCACAUAAACUUGAAAUAAUGUGAAUUAGAGUUGAAUUUAUUAUUUUUAUUAAUUUGCAUAAGUUGGGAAUUAUCGUAUGUUUAGUUUUUGAUAUGGUAAAGUUUUGCUUCAAUUACUAUUUGUGCUUUGAAAUUGAGUGAAUUAGGUGUUUCUAGGUUUAAGUAUUUUGAUAUAGCUAUUUAUGAAAAUAUAUGAGGUUUUGUUGUAACAUUCUUUUUGAGAUAUAAAUGAACAAUACAAUGUUUAGAUAUAAGUUACCUCUACUUUUUCUGAGCAAUAUAUUUUUUGAGAAAUGAUU
Arachis ipaensis is the source of this 2251-nucleotide non-coding RNA. Lineage: Eukaryota; Viridiplantae; Streptophyta; Magnoliopsida; Fabales; Fabaceae. The record is from RefSeq and is a predicted model, not a curated record.